This 946-nucleotide ribosomal RNA is filed under the name Xanthomonas oryzae. Its description in RNAcentral is "bacterial SSU rRNA". It matches the Rfam family "Bacterial small subunit ribosomal RNA", at positions 79 to 1031 of the family's 1533-position model. RNAcentral also lists the same sequence under 1 other name. Lineage: Bacteria; Pseudomonadati; Pseudomonadota; Gammaproteobacteria; Lysobacterales; Lysobacteraceae. The record is from RNAcentral.
AUGGGGGGAAUACAAGUUAGGCCGAACCGGGUUGAGUAACACGUGAGCAACCUGCCCCUGACUCUGGGAUAAGCGCUGGAAACGGCGUCUAAUACUGGAUACGAACCACGGAGGCAUCUUCAGUGGUUGGAAAGAUUUUUUGGUUGGGGAUGGGCUCGCGGCCUAUCAGCUUGUUGGUGAGGUAAUGGCUCACCAAGGCGUCGACGGGUAGCCGGCCUGAGAGGGUGACCGGCCACACUGGGACUGAGACACGGCCCAGACUCCUACGGGAGGCAGCAGUGGGGAAUAUUGCACAAUGGGCGGAAGCCUGAUGCAGCAACGCCGCGUGAGGGAUGACGGCCUUCGGGUUGUAAACCUCUUUUAGCAGGGAAGAAGCGAAAGUGACGGUACCUGCAGAAAAAGCGCCGGCUAACUACGUGCCAGCAGCCGCGGUAAUACGUAGGGCGCAAGCGUUAUCCGGAAUUAUUGGGCGUAAAGAGCUCGUAGGCGGUUUGUCGCGUCUGCUGUGAAAUCCCGAGGCUCAACCUCGGGCCUGCAGUGGGUACGGGCAGACUAGAGUGCGGUAGGGGAGAUUGGAAUUCCUGGUGUAGCGGUGGAAUGCGCAGAUAUCAGGAGGAACACCGAUGGCGAAGGCAGAUCUCUGGGCCGUAACUGACGCUGAGGAGCGAAAGGGUGGGGAGCAAACAGGCUUAGAUACCCUGGUAGUCCACCCCGUAAACGUUGGGAACUAGUUGUGGGGUCCCAUUCCACGGAUUCCGUGACGCAGCUAACGCAUUAAGUUCCCCCGCCUGAGGGAGUACGGCCCGCAAGGCUAAAACUCAAGGAAUUGACGGGGACCCGCACAAGCGGCGGAGCAUGCGGAUUAAUUCGAUGCAACGCGAAGAACCUUACCAAGGCUUGACAUAUACGAGAACGGGCCAGAAAAUGUCCACUCUUUGACACUCGU